Molecule: non-coding RNA, 72 nt
Organism: Centaurea solstitialis (yellow star-thistle)
Lineage: Eukaryota; Viridiplantae; Streptophyta; Magnoliopsida; Asterales; Asteraceae
Source: the annotation of a GenBank genome assembly
GUCAGGAUGGCCGAGUGAUCUAAGGCGCCAGACUCAAGAUCUAAGGCGUGGGUUCAAAUCCCACUUCUGACA